UGCCGUCCAUUUGUGUAUAGUGUUCAUAAAAUUCCAUGAGCACAGGAUUCUGAUGAAUCUACAAUGCAUGGGAGCUCAGAGGGGACUCAAAUCAAGUACAAUAAAGCAUUUCCAUUUUGCCUGGCUCUGGGAACAAAGCCAAUGUCUGCUUUAGAGGAACAGAGAUUUCCACAUGGUGAAUGAAAAAAAGGACACAGAUCCAGGAUUCAGAAAGAAAAUGAGGACAGAGACUAACACUCUCUAAAUACAUAAAGGCAGAAGACAUUUUCUCAGGGGAAAUGUGUACAUAGAGACAUGCAAAGAGAGGAGACGAUGUGAAGCCAUGGUGAGAUUUUCAUCUACAAGCCAAGGAGUGCCUGAGCUACUGGAAGGCAAGAAAGAGGCAAGGAACAGAGUCUACCUCGCAACCCUUAAAAACAAACAACCCUGCUGACACCUUCAGUUUGGACUUUCAGCCUCCAGAACUGUGAAACAAGAAACUUCUGUUGUUUAAGCAACUCAGUUUGUGGUACCUUGUUAUGGCAGGCCUAGCAAAUUAAUACACCUUCCUACUGAAAACAACCAUAACACUGGCCAAAAUAUAUGAGGAAACUGUCUUUAGGUAUUUGGACAACAUGUGAUACGGGGCUGUGAUUCUUGAGAGGAAAGGACACGUAUGAGCUAAAUGAAAGUUAAAAGAAUUCAUCAGUGAUACAAGAAAUAUGAAAAGAAGUUUUUCUUGUGAAAUAUAUGUCAAAGGUGGUAAAAAUAAUAGGAACAAAAUACAUGUAAUUUUGCAAUUGUAAGACUUUAAUAUUUUAUGGGUGGUGGUACAAUGUCAACUCUGUCACUCUGUGAUAAGUUAAAGUGUCAUAUUUUAAUCUUUAUGGGAACCAUUUAAAAAAUACAAAGAAGGAUAGCUAAAAAGCCAACAGAGGACAGAAAAGGAAUAUUAAAAAUUAUUUAAUGAACUCAAAAGAAGGAAUGAAAGGAAGAAUGGAGGAACAAAAAGAUGACAGGAGAAAUAGUAAAUAAAUGCCAGGAUGGUAACAUUAAAUCCCAGUAUAUCAAUAAUUAUAUUAAAUGUUAAAUUAAAUUUAUAAGGAUAAAUAAUUGAAAGAUGUUUAAUUAGAUUAUAAUUUACUUCAAUUAAAAGGAAAACUUGCCAGACUGGUUAGAAAAGAAAAAGACACACUUUAUUACUUUUUUAAUUUUUAAUUUUAAGUUUUUAUUUUUGUGUGUAUGUAGCAGGCAUAUAUAUUUAUGGGCUACAUGAGAUAUUUUGGUACAGGCGUGUAAUAUGUAAUGAUCACAGUAUGGAAAACUGGGGGUCCAUCCCCUCAAGCAUUUUUCCUUUGCAUUACAAAAUCCAGUUAGAGUCUUUUAGUUAUUUUUAAUUGUACAAUUAAAUUAUUAUUGACUGUAGUCUACCUGUUGCGCUAUCAAAUACUAGGUCUUAUUCAUUCUUUCCAAGUAUUUUUUCUUGUAUCCUAAGCAUGCCCCUACUCUCCCGUCCCUACUCACUACCCUUCCCAGGCUCUGAUAACCAUCCCUCUAUUCUCUAAAGAGAUACACUUUAAAUAUAAAGACAAAGAUAGGUUGAAAGUAAAAUGAUGGAGGAAAUAUUUAUCAUGUAAAGAAUAAACACAUAGCAAUAGUAUGGCUAUAUUAAUAUGAGAGAACAUACACUUUAACAUGGGAGAGUUGCCAAAGAUAAAGAGGCAAUUUAUCAAUUUAAAAAUGAUAAAAGAGUCAGUUCUCCAGAAAGGUAAAACAAUCCUAAAUGUAUGUGCACCCAAUAACGGAGCUUUAAAAUACAAGAACCAAAAGUGACAGAAUUAAAGGGAGAAACAGAGAAAUUUAUUAUUCAAAUUCAAGAUUUUUAACAGUUCUCUCUCAUUAAUUGAUUGAUCGAUGUAUAAAAUCAGCAUGGAUAUAGGAGAUAUAAACCAUACUGUCAACCAACAUGACCUUAAUUGAAGCAUAUAAGCAUGCCACCAAAGAACAAUAGUACACAUUAUUUUCUGGUGCAAAUGAAACAUUAAUCAAGGUAGACCAAAUACUGGACAGUAAGUAUCAAUUAAUUUUAAAGGAUUUAAAUUUUAUAGUAUAUAUUCUCUGGGUGCAGUAUAAUUAAAUUAGAAAUCAUAUUACGUCUAUAAAUUCCCAAGUAUCAUGGAAAUUAAGCAACAUAUUUCUGAAUAAUCCAGGAAUAAAAGAGAAAUAAAAUAAGGAUAAUUAAAAUACUUUGAGUUGAUCAAUAUUGAAAAUGUAAUAUACAAAAAUUUAUUAAAUGCUAAUGCAAUGCUUAGCAGAAAGUUUUUAACAUUAAAUGCUUACAUUAGAAAAGAAGAGAGGUUUAAAAUCAAUGAUUUAACUUUGUAUCUUUAAGAAGCUGGAAAAAGUCAACCUCGGUUAAAUAGAGGAAACGAAAUUUCUUUAAAAAGAUCAAUUAAACUGAUUUAUCUUUAGCAAAACUGAUGGAGAGAGAGAAAUAACAAGUUACUAAUAUCAGGAAUGCAAGAAAAGAGAUCGCUAAAAAUCCUAUAGACAUUAAAAGGAUAAUAAGGGAAUAUUAUGAAA
Chlorocebus sabaeus (green monkey) is the source of this 2562-nucleotide non-coding RNA. NCBI's taxonomy places the organism in Eukaryota, Metazoa, Chordata, Mammalia, Primates, Cercopithecidae. The record is from RefSeq and is a predicted model, not a curated record.